This 301-nucleotide ribosomal RNA is filed under the name uncultured bacterium. Its description in RNAcentral is "partial 16S ribosomal RNA". It matches the Rfam family "Bacterial small subunit ribosomal RNA", at positions 509 to 807 of the family's 1533-position model. The record is from RNAcentral.
CAGCAGCCGCGGUAAUACGAAGGGGGCUAGCGUUGUUCGGAUUAACUGGGCGUAAAGGGCGCGUAGGCGGAUCUUUAAGUCAGGGGUGAAAUCCCGAGGCUCAACCUCGGAACUGCCUUUGAUACUGGAGAUCUUGAGUCCGGGAGAGGUGAGUGGGACUGCGAGUGUAGAGGUGAAAUUCGUAGAUAUUCGCAAGAACACCAGUGGCGAAGGCGGCUCACUGGCCCGGUACUGACGCUGAGGCGCGAAAGCGUGGGGAGCAAACAGGAUUAGAUACCCCAGUAGUCCCUGUCUCUUAUAC